UACGAACCGUACAAACGUUAUUCGGAAUCACUGGGCUUAAAGGGUGCGUAGGCGGCCAUGUAAGUGAGGUGUGAAAUCCCUCGGCUCAACCGAGGAACUGCGCUUCAUACUGCAUGGCUUGAGGGAGACAGGGGUAAGCGGAACUGAUGGUGGAGCGGUGAAAUGCGUUAAUAUCAUCAGGAACACCGGUGGCGAAAGCGGCUUACUGGGUCUCUUCUGACGCUGAGGUACGAAAGCUAGGGUAGCGAACGGG
Molecule: ribosomal RNA, 253 nt
Filed under: uncultured bacterium
Lineage: Bacteria
Description: partial 16S ribosomal RNA
Rfam family: Bacterial small subunit ribosomal RNA
Source: RNAcentral